GUGCCAGCAGCCGCGGUAAUACGUAGGGUGCGAGCGUUGUCCGGAAUUACUGGGCGUAAAGAGCUCGUAGGUGGUUUGUCGCGUCGUCUGUGAAAUUCCGGGGCUUAACUCCGGGCGUGCAGGCGAUACGGGCUGACUUGAGUGCUGUAGGGGAGACUGGAAUUCCUGGUGUAGCGGUGAAAUGCGCAGAUAUCAGGAGGAACACCGAUGGCGAAGGCAGGUCUCUGGGCAGUAACUGACGCUGAGGAGCGAAAGCAUGGGUAGCGAACAGGAUUAGAUACCCUGGUAGUCCAUGCCGUAAACGGUGGGCGCUAGGUGUAGGGGGCUUCCACGUCUUCUGUGCCGUAGCUAACGCAUUAAGCGCCCCGCCUGGGGAGUACGGCCGCAAGGCUAAAACUCAAAGGAAUUGACGGGGGCCCGCACAAGCGGCGGAGCAUGUGGAUUAAUUCGAUGCAACGCGAAGAACCUUACCUGGGCUUGACAUACACCAGAUCGGGCCAGAGAUGGUCUUUCCCUUUGUGGUUGGUGUACAGGUGGUGCAUGGUUGUCGUCAGCUCGUGUCGUGAGAUGUUGGGUUAAGUCCCGCAACGAGCGCAACCCUUGUCUUAUGUUGCCAGCACGUUAUGGUGGGGACUCGUGAGAGACUGCCGGGGUUAACUCGGAGGAAGGUGGGGAUGACGUCAAAUCAUCGUGCCCCUUAUGUCCAGGGCUUCACACAUGCUACAAUGGUCGGUACAACGCGUCUGCGAGCCUGUGAGGGUGAGCUAAUCGCUGUAAAGCCGGUCGUAGUUCGGAUUGGGGUCUGCAGCUCGACCCCAUGAAGUCGGAGUCGCUAGUAAUCGCAGAUCAGCAACGCUGCGGUGAAUACGUUCCCGGGCCUUGUACACACCGCCCGUCACGUCAUGAAAGUUGGUAACACCCGAAGCCAGUGGCUCAAACUCGUUAGGGAGCUGUCGAAGGUGGGAUCGGCGAUUGGGACGAAGUCGUAACAAGGUA
Molecule: ribosomal RNA, 996 nt
Filed under: uncultured Corynebacterium sp.
Lineage: Bacteria; Bacillati; Actinomycetota; Actinomycetes; Mycobacteriales; Corynebacteriaceae
Description: bacterial SSU rRNA
Rfam family: Bacterial small subunit ribosomal RNA
Source: RNAcentral